Molecule: ribosomal RNA, 253 nt
Filed under: uncultured bacterium
Lineage: Bacteria
Description: partial 16S ribosomal RNA
Rfam family: Bacterial small subunit ribosomal RNA
Source: RNAcentral
UACGUAGGGACCAAGCGUUGUUCGGAUUUACUGGGCGUAAAGGGCGCGUAGGCGGCAAUUCAAGUCAUCUGUGAAAUCUCCGGGCUUAACCCGGAACGGUCAGAUGAUACUGCUUUGCUAGAGUGCGGAAGGGGCAAUCGGAAUUCUUGGUGUAGCGGUGAAAUGCGUAGAUAUCAAGAGGAACACCUGAGGUGAAGACGGGUUGCUGGGCUGACACUGACGCUGAGGCGCGAAAGCGUGGGUAGCAAACAGG